RNAcentral lists this ribosomal RNA (793 nucleotides) under Methanosaeta sp. enrichment culture clone A22114. RNAcentral describes it as "bacterial SSU rRNA". It matches the Rfam family "Archaeal small subunit ribosomal RNA", at positions 85 to 879 of the family's 1478-position model. Lineage: Archaea; Methanobacteriati; Methanobacteriota; Methanomicrobia; Methanotrichales; Methanotrichaceae. The record is from RNAcentral.
ACUGCUCAGUAACACGUGGACAACCUGCCCUUAGGACGGGGAUAAACCCGGGAAACUGGGUAUAAUACCCGAUAGGUCUCGAUUGCUGGAAUGCAUCGAGAUUUAAAGCUCCGGCGCCUAAGGAUGGGUCUGCGGCCUAUCAGGUAGUAGUGGGUGUAGCGUACCUACUAGCCUACGACGGGUACGGGUUGUGAGAGCAAGAGCCCGGAGAUGGAUUCUGAGACACGAAUCCAGGCCCUACGGGGUGCAGCAGGCGCGAAAACUUUACAAUGCUGGCAACAGCGAUAAGGGAACCUCGAGUGCCAGGUUACAAAUCUGGCUGUCGAGAUGCCUAAAAAGCAUUUCAUAGCAAGGGCCGGGCAAGACCGGUGCCAGCCGCCGCAGUAACACCGGCGGCUCGAGUGGUAACCGUUAUUAUUGGGUCUAAAGGGUCUGUAGCCGGCCGGAUAAGUCUCUUGAGAAAUCUGGCAGCUUAACUGUCAGGCUUUCAGGAGAUACUGUCUGGCUCGAGGCCGGGAGAGGUGAGAGGUACUUCAGGGGUAGGGGUGAAAUCUUGUAAUCCUUGAAGGACCACCAGUGGCGAAGGCGUCUCACCAGAACGGACCUGACGGCAAGGGACGAAAGCUAGGGGCACGAACCGGAUUAGAUACCCGGGUAGUCCUAGCCGUAAACGAUACUCGCUAGGUGUCGGCCACGGUGCGACCGUUGUCGGUGCCGUAGGGAAGCCGUGAAGCGAGCCACCUGGGAAGUACGGCCGCAAGGCUGAAACUUAAAGGAAUUGGCGGGGGAGCAC